This 486-nucleotide ribosomal RNA is filed under the name uncultured bacterium. Its description in RNAcentral is "partial 16S ribosomal RNA". It matches the Rfam family "Bacterial small subunit ribosomal RNA", at positions 30 to 507 of the family's 1533-position model. The record is from RNAcentral.
AUUGAACGCUGGCGGCAUGCCUUACACAUGCAAGUCGAACGGCAGCACGGGUGCUUGCACCUGGUGGCGAGUGGCGAACGGGUGAGUAAUACAUCGGAACAUGUCCUGUAGUGGGGGAUAGCCCGGCGAAAGCCGGAUUAAUACCGCAUACGAUCCACGGAUGAAAGCGGGGGACCUUCGGGCCUCGCGCUAUAGGGUUGGCCGAUGGCUGAUUAGCUAGUUGGUGGGGUAAAGGCCUACCAAGGCGACGAUCAGUAGCUGGUCUGAGAGGACGACCAGCCACACUGGGACUGAGACACGGCCCAGACUCCUACGGGAGGCAGCAGUGGGGAAUUUUGGACAAUGGGCGAAAGCCUGAUCCAGCAAUGCCGCGUGUGUAAAGAAGGCCUUCGGGUUGUAAAGCACUUUUGUCCGGAAAGAAAUCCUUGGCUCUAAUACAGUCGGGGGAUGACGGUACCGGAAGAAUAAGCACCGGCUAACUACGUG